Molecule: ribosomal RNA, 484 nt
Filed under: uncultured bacterium
Lineage: Bacteria
Description: partial 16S ribosomal RNA
Rfam family: Bacterial small subunit ribosomal RNA
Source: RNAcentral
AUUGAACGCUGGCGGCAGGCCUAACACAUGCAAGUCGAGCGGAUGAAGGGAGCUUGCUCCUGGAUUCAGCGGCGGACGGGUGAGUAAUGCCUAGGAAUCUGCCUGGUAGUGGGGGAUAACGUCCGGAAACGGGCGCUAAUACCGCAUACGUCCUGAGGGAGAAAGUGGGGGAUCUUCGGACCCCACGCUAUCAGAUGAGCCUAGGUCGGAUUAGCUAGUUGGUGGGGUAAAGGCCUACCAAGGCGACGAUCCGUAACUGGUCUGAGAGGAUGAUCAGUCACACUGGAACUGAGACACGGUCCAGACUCCUACGGGAGGCAGCAGUGGGGAAUACUGGACAAUGGGCGAAAGCCUGAUCCAGCCAUGCCGCGUGUGUGAAGAAGGUCUUCGGAUUGUAAAGCACUUUAAGUUGGGAGGAAGGGCAGUAAGUUAAUACCUUGCUGUUUUGACGUUACCAACAGAAUAAGCACCGGCUAACUUCGUG